AGGUGUCUACUCAUUAAUCAUUGGUUAAGAAAUACCUCUCAAGACUUAUGUCUGAAGACAUCUGCAGUCAAUGACAGUGUUCUCUACUUGAUGUAAUUUAAGGUAGCCUGAUUGAGUCAGAAACAUUAGGAAAUCUUUGUCUUUGGAACUAAAAUUGUCAACUUGUAUACUUUGGCACUCUUUUCCUGGAAGCCUGCUUUGGUCUGCAUAUUCACUGAAGAACAACAAUGAAUUCCCACCAUUAUGUACCCAUCUACC
Molecule: long non-coding RNA, 258 nt
Organism: Melopsittacus undulatus (budgerigar)
Lineage: Eukaryota; Metazoa; Chordata; Aves; Psittaciformes; Psittaculidae
Exons: 3
Source: RefSeq, a predicted model, not a curated record